CGCAUGGGUAGGAGAUGGACACAAAAUCGAUACCCUCAGAAAAUGCCUCCGAAGGCCCGUCAGGUGCACUUAAACUACGGAGGGAAAUUGCUGAACGGCGUGCGGACUUCUGCUUAACAGUCAAAAAUGUCAUGGAUUUAGAGAAGGACAAUUUUUUUCUGAGAAGUCAGCAAGUACAUUUUGGGAUCCCAUUUACAAUAAGGUCUCCAAACAGAAGAUUUAUCUGAGAAAACGUUCUAGCAGCUCCGAAUUAUGGCAGUUGUUAAUGAGAACAAAAAUGUAUUUAUUCAGCCAGAGCUGUGCACCAAAAAAAUUAGAGUUGGGAAGAGAAAGAAGCUGGGCAAACCCCAAUCCUUGCUGUGAGACUGCGGAGGGGAGAAGCAAACGUCUAGCAGGGAUUGUUCCAGCUGGUGUUCGGCAACCCGGUGUACCUGCAACAAGCAAGCUGGCCCCUACCUUCUGCUUAGCAAGCCAACUAAUAGUUAGCCAGCAUUGCCUCCAAUUACAACAGGUACUGUGGCUUGAUAUCUGAGGUUUGUUCUCUUAAACUACCUGCAGCUCUCCCGCCCAGCACUCCAGUGAAUGACAGCACUGCUGCUCCUUCUCACAGAGAGAUGUGUCGGCCAGAGUAGAAAAUCCAGAACUCUUGAACCUCUCUAUCUGACAUCUACACAAACUGUUCAGCAGUGGGAGACAGGCAGCCAUACCUAUUCCCAGCAGUUACAGCACCAAAAAAGCAGUUGCUUUUUUGGCACCUUCUCUCACGAUCAGCUGAGCUUAAGAAAAACUAAAGAAAAAAUCAUAAAAAAGUUGGUUGGAAGGAGCCUCAACCUGAUGCUUGGACCAGGACUGACAGCAGGAGUAACUCAAGGCAGCCUAUUGUAUGCAAAUAGCCAUUAACCAUGGAUCCUCAAAGCCAGACUUAUUUUCAUUGCGGAUUUUCAACCCUGCUACAGCAGCACAGCAUUCCUAAAGCAGGAGCAGAGGUUGUAGCUGAAGAUAAAGUGUGGUGGCCUGCGUCAUCCCGUCCAGUUCCAGUGCCACUAAUAACUCACGUGAGUAACAGAAACACUUGGGCUCCUCUGACGAAAUGUGACGAAGGAACAGAAGUGACGUGGAGAACAACGUUCAUCUCUGUGAUGUCCCGUCUGUGGUCCAUCUGCCUCUGAAUGCCACACAGCAUCCUCAGCACCACUCAGGAAUUUCCUGAGCUGUUGCAAAGACUUUCCUCCCAAGUCUGGUUUGCUAGACUGCAAAAUUUAACUGAAGCUGAGAACAGACCGGCAACAUCAUGAAAUUCCCAACAAAAUGAACCGGUCCAGCCAGUGCCAGCUGCCGACGGGCUGAGUUUGGGGCUGCGUUAACUUCCGAUAACAGAAGACGUGGUCUGACAGUGAGCCAGCCACAGAACCUACCCGACGUCGUGCCAGACCUCCCACCAGCUUCUCAGCUCUGCCUUCAACAUAUGCUGGCUUCCCACUGGCAAGGGUCACUGUGACUACUGAAGGACUCCUUGUCUCCGUAGGAGAAAGCAGCUGAAGUCCAUCGACGGUUAAAGGCAACUCACCAAGUCUUUCAUAGUAGACUACUGGAGUCUGGACUUACAUCUAUUAGAGGUGAUGGCAUGUUCCUUCUGUAAGGAGAAGACAACAUAUAAAGAAGAGGCCAGUGUUCCUGUACAGGCAAAUCUUGUCACUGAUCUCCAGGAACAAUAAGCCCUUGAAGACAGACUGGUUCCGGUUGGAAGGGACCUCUGGACACCACCUGGUCCACCCCUCUCCCCACUGAAGCGUGGUCACCAUGUCCAAGAGGGCUUUUGGACAUGUCCAAGGUCAGAGACUCCACCACCUCUCCCUGCUGGUGCGGCGCAGAGGGAAGCAGCUCGAUGUCAUGCAGCUGGAGUGAAGCCUUUUCUUCCUCCAGUUGGUGCUACUCUAUGGAGAACAAAACAAACCAGGAUGAGGCGUUAGACCUCUGGAAUUACGGCCACUUGAGUGAUGUUUGGGAAAGCAGGUACCUGUGCCAGCAUCAUGUUUCUUCAUGUUAAACUCAAUCAAGAACAUACUGUGAUUGAAAAUAUUUUCCCCCCCGCCACGUGCAAAUCAGGCCUGUGGUCCAUCACCCUACAUAACACCACUAGUGCAGCUGUGGGUAAAGAGAAGGAUGAAGUGUCAGUAGUGGAAACAGCAGCUGGGAAUGCUCUGCAUUUCAGUCAUCAUCACACCACAGCCCAGACACCAGAGGUAAAGCCACAGUCUCUGCUAGCUCUAAAAUGAUCUGCUUUUCACUGGCAAGGAACUAAAAUGUUUACAGUGAAAAAAAAAAGCUUAGAAUUUCCUUUCAAAGCAUAAUUAACUAAGCAAUUCACAACAACUGUUUUGUUUUUUCUGUACUCACCAUUCAGUAAUUACCACUUUGAAAAAAAAUAAUGGUUCUUUAAUGUGAGCUCCUGACAGCAAAGGCGCAGGGGAACUGACAUCCAAAGUUGUCAUCUGGUCUGGCUCACUGAUUUCUCCAGCACAACAUACAGCGUGGACUUAGGCGAUCACGAGGGUGAGCUGCAAAGAAGCCGACACGUAAAGGAGAACAAGCAUAACCUGGAAAACUACAGCAAAGAGCUUAUAACACUGCACCAUGAGAGAGAUUUACCAGAGAAGGACUACUUUGCAGGUGGAAAUGAUUUAUGUGCCAAAACGGAGAAAAUAACACUGAGGGAAGAAGGAAAAACAAAACAAAAGGAGGAAGAUGUGAUAAUAUGAAAGACAGCCCACAGAAUAAAGGAAGGGAAGGAAGUGAAAUGGCAAACUGAGAAGCAGAAAUCUCAAUCUUAUUGGAAAUCUAGCUGUGGAACAGGAAAGCUAAGACACAGGUACACUUACCCUGGGAGCUGGUAUUUCUGUACCCAGAAGUACUGCCUUCACGUGGAUGACAGCCAUCUGGGUGAUGACUGACGUUUCUCCAUGGCUUUUUGCCUUGUAUAAACACAUGGGGAAAUUCUGUAAAAGAAAGUAAAUCAGAAAACACUGAAUUCCUUCAGGUGCAGGUAUGAGUAGAAAACACAUUCUGCAUUUCCACUUCCAAUCAAGGAAUCAAAUGCAUCUGAGUGACUUCAAAAAGCCAAUGCACAAUGGCAGCUGGUUCCAAGCUAUCCAGGAGGAGGCUAGGAGAUAAACAUCACCCUUUCUUCUGGACACUGUAAAAAUGUCUGUACAAUAAUUUACUCCGUCACCAACAGUAACCUGACCUCUUUUUUGAAGAGCAUGAGAAAAUGUGUUAAUGAAGAACAUCUCAGAAGCCCCAUAUAUCUAUUUCAAUACCUUUGUUUGAACUGGAGACAAGUUCGAGGACGACUGUGUGUGUACCCGUGGAGGUGAGCAUAGGCUGCUGUGAAAAGCUCAGUCUCCUUAACGAUACUCUGUAAAAUAAAAGGUAAGAAAGAACUGAAAUAGAAGUUGGCUUCAGAAAUCUCCUGUGGUACCUUAUCCUUGAACUGAAAUUCCACAGAAAUUUAGCAAUAGGUAGUCAUCAGAAAUACAACAUAGAUGCAUGACUGGACAAUAAUCUAACAAAAGGGAGCUACUGCACUAGCAUUUCAUAAUAAUUGAAGAGUAAUUGUAAAAAUUCUUAUGCAAGUGCUAUUGGAUACUAGAAUUCCCACUGCACAGUUUAUUUAAAAAUGAGGAAUCCUGUGGAAAAAAGGCCAAUUUUUGUCCCAGAUUUUGGAAGAUGAUGGUAGAUAUUUAUAUGGCAGAAUUAAUCACAGAUGUUUUGCUCAGAACACGAAAUAAA
This is a long non-coding RNA of Calidris pugnax (ruff), 3789 nucleotides long. RefSeq lists it as uncharacterized. The transcript has 14 exons. The record is from RefSeq and is a predicted model, not a curated record. NCBI's taxonomy places the organism in Eukaryota, Metazoa, Chordata, Aves, Charadriiformes, Scolopacidae.